CGUCGAUCUUAUGGCCCAGUGGUUAAGGCGCUCGCUUUACAAUUCGCUAAAGUUGACCGCGAGAGAUCGCAGGUUCGAUCCCUGCUAAGAUCAUGUUA
This 98-nucleotide transfer RNA is filed under the name Penicillium salamii. Its description in RNAcentral is "tRNA-Val". It matches the Rfam family "tRNA". From Rfam's summary of the family: Transfer RNA (tRNA) molecules are approximately 80 nucleotides in length. Their secondary structure includes four short double-helical elements and three loops (D, anti-codon, and T loops). Further hydrogen bonds mediate the characteristic L-shaped molecular structure. tRNAs have two regions of fundamental functional importance: the anti-codon, which is responsible for specific mRNA codon recognition, and the 3' end, to which the tRNAs corresponding amino acid is attached (by aminoacyl-tRNA synthetases). tRNAs cope with the degeneracy of the genetic code in two manners: having more than one tRNA (with a specific anti-codon) for a particular amino acid; and 'wobble' base-pairing, i.e. permitting non-standard base-pairing at the 3rd anti-codon position. The record is from RNAcentral. Lineage: Eukaryota; Fungi; Ascomycota; Eurotiomycetes; Eurotiales; Aspergillaceae.